GGGCUGUAGCUCAGUGGUAGAGUAUCUGCUUUGCAUGCAGAAGGUGCCAGGUUCAAUCCCCAGCACCAACCA
Molecule: non-coding RNA, 72 nt
Organism: Podarcis lilfordi (Lilford's wall lizard)
Lineage: Eukaryota; Metazoa; Chordata; Lepidosauria; Squamata; Lacertidae
Source: the annotation of a GenBank genome assembly